RNAcentral lists this ribosomal RNA (505 nucleotides) under uncultured Glomus. RNAcentral describes it as "SSU rRNA". It matches the Rfam family "Eukaryotic small subunit ribosomal RNA", at positions 569 to 1077 of the family's 1831-position model. Lineage: Eukaryota; Fungi; Glomeromycota; Glomeromycetes; Glomerales; Glomeraceae. The record is from RNAcentral.
AGCAGCCGCGGUAAUUCCAGCUCCAAUAGCGUAUAUUAAAGUUGUUGCAGUUAAAAAGCUCGUAGUUGAAUUUCGGGGUCAGCAGGUUGGUCGUGCCACUGGUAUGCACUGGUCUCACUGAUUCCUCCUUCCUGAUGAACCGUAAUGCCAUUAAUUUGGUGUUGCGGGGAAUCUGGACUGUUACUUUGAAAAAAUUAGAGUGUUUAAAGCAGGCUAACGCUUGAAUACAUUAGCAUGGAAUAAUGAAAUAGACGAUCGAUCCUAUUUUGUUGGUUUCUAGGAUUGACGUAACGAUUAAUAGGGAUAGUUGGGGGCAUUAGUAUUCAAUUGUCAGAGGUGAAAUUCUUGGAUUUAUUGAAGACUAACUACUGCGAAAGCAUUUGCCAAGGAUGUUUUCAUUAAUCAGGAACGAAAGUUAGGGGAUCGAAGACGAUCAGAUACCGUCGUAGUCUUAACCAUAAACUAUAGCCGACUAGGGAUCGGAUGAUGUUAAUUUUUAAUGUAC